Molecule: microRNA precursor, 96 nt
Organism: Nicotiana attenuata
Lineage: Eukaryota; Viridiplantae; Streptophyta; Magnoliopsida; Solanales; Solanaceae
Rfam family: MIR6152 microRNA precursor family
Source: Rfam
UGGACAGAUUAUUGUAUUCGACUGUAUUCACGGCGUGAAACAGGGGAUACCACUGUUUUUAAACGAAAAGUGAAUCAAUUAACAUAAUAGACUCCU